GACGUGACUUCAGAGUUUGAUCCUGGCUCAGGAUGAACGCUAGCGGCAGGCCUAACACAUGCAAGUCGAGGGGUAGAGUUAGCUUGCUAACUUGAGACCGGCGCACGGGUGCGUAACGCGUAUGCAAUCUACCUUGUAGAGGGGGAUAGCCCAGAGAAAUUUGGAUUAAUACCCCAUAGUAUAAUAGAGUGGCAUCAUUUUAUUAUUAAAGUUCCAACGCUACAAGAUGAGCAUGCGUCCCAUUAGUUAGUUGGUGUGGUAACGGCGCACCAAGACGAUGAUGGGUAGGGGUCCUGAGAGGGAGAUCCCCCACACUGGUACUGAGACACGGACCAG
RNAcentral lists this ribosomal RNA (336 nucleotides) under uncultured bacterium. RNAcentral describes it as "bacterial SSU rRNA". It matches the Rfam family "Bacterial small subunit ribosomal RNA", at positions 1 to 334 of the family's 1533-position model. The record is from RNAcentral.